This is a non-coding RNA of Paramuricea clavata, 224 nucleotides long. The record is from the annotation of a GenBank genome assembly. NCBI's taxonomy places the organism in Eukaryota, Metazoa, Cnidaria, Anthozoa, Malacalcyonacea, Plexauridae.
UUGUCAACACGGACGUCACCCGAAAAUUGGUAUAACUAAUUUUGGCGGCAUUUUGCAUCAUAGCGCUCGUGUAAGGAAGAAAAAAACUUUAAAAAUCUUAUGUCUUGCCAUAUAUGUGUUGAAGAUUACCACAAACUGACACAAACACAGUUUUUAAUCCAGUCCCCCCUCGGCAAUCUGACGUCCGUGUUGACAAAAACGUCGCUUGUUUGAGCUCACUAUUG